CUCAAAGCUAAAAAUGCACUUGUAUUUUUUAAAGAUUCUGAUUUCAUAAAGUGCAUUCCAUAGCCUUUAUUCACUUUGUGAUUACUUUGUUUUCUUCUACAUCCCCUAGAAUCUAUGCAUGGGAUGAAACAUUUGUAAAUAAACCACAGCAUUACCACUGUGUUUUCAUUCACCUGUGGAAUCCAUAGGAAUUUAAAGGACACACUUUAACUUUCACGAGACUGACUUGCACUUCCAAUGUGAUUUCUGCUUCCAUGGAGGAUCAGUUCAACACAGGGAAUUAAGUAAAUGAUGUAUGUUGUUGCUCAGCACGGAGUUACUCAACUUAAUUACAGUUCUGUUGGUUUUGGCUAAAAACUAAUGCUACAAUGUUUACUUUAAUAAUUUGAAGUAAGCGCUGAGCCUCUUUAAAAUCACACUCUGUAGAGUGCAAAAACUGUAAACACUGCAGAAGCAGGAUUCCACUUAAAAACAGAUUCAUUACUUAUUUGCCAAGCUUCCUGCAGCUGGGGGAGGUUUUCUCCUCCAGCUUUUCUCAGUCAGGUAUCUUCAUACGUCACUGCUGGGAAAACUGCUUCAAAAACUUGGUGGUACUGUGCAGCUGUGCUGUGGCACCAUUCCUAAGUAAAUGCUAUCCUUGAGAGCCCUUGGCCUCUUUGCUACCUAACAGAGUGGAGAUCAGUACCUACGCAUCCUAAGGAGUUCUGCAACGCUCCGGUUCUGCUGCACAGAAUUACGUGCACUUCUUCCACCCUCGUUAUCUUAUCAGGCAGAUUCUUAACCGCAAGUAUCCGUGGGCUGAGAUUCCGGUGACUUUUAUAAUUCACUUAUAGAAUUUUCAUUGUGCUGUCAACCAGAACUCAACUUGCAGAACUAAAAGCCUCAUUUCAGGCAUCCUACAAAGACCAGCAGUUUUUGUUCAUCUUUGUGCUGACUGAAACCUCAACUAGUAAAUCAGAAGAAAAUGAUUCACUGGAAUUGCACCAGAGAAAGGAGAAAAUGGAAUUUGCAUUUUCUGCAGCCCAAGUGUUCUCAUUCCAUAGAAGAAUUCUGAAUACAAGACUUCUUUGUUAAGCAGAUCUGUACCCUUCAAUCCUUUUGCUUUUUUUUUCUCGAGAUACUGAAACAAAACAUUCAGUUUGGGGUUUGAGAGAAACAUUUUGUUCAACUUGACGUAACCAUUUUCAUUUCUAAAAAACUGAAAAAACCCAGAAGAUUAAAUAUAAAUUUGGCCCAAUUAAUUUGAAAUUUGGGAUAGAUACAAAGGAUUGAAGGCCCAUCUAAAAAAUUAACUCAUAACCCUAAUUAACUUAGAUAUUUGCAAUGUUUCAGAGUUCAUAGCCAUGUCAAUACCACAACAAUGCAUUUAUUUCACACCAGAAGCCAAGAGGAAUUAAUGUUAUGGAGGAAAUUAGUACCUCCUUAUGGAAACUUAUAGAAUAGUGAUAUUUUUCCUCACACAUUUACACUGAGCAGCACCAAAUGCAGUAUCAUGUGCAAAAAUCAAUCAUCAUAAUAUUUAGCUAUGUGAAGCGUUCACAGAGCUGGAAAUAAAGGUUAAAUAAUAAAAUUGAUGAUUUUGUCA
This is a long non-coding RNA of Cyanistes caeruleus (blue tit), 1585 nucleotides long. NCBI's taxonomy places the organism in Eukaryota, Metazoa, Chordata, Aves, Passeriformes, Paridae. The record is from Ensembl.